This 250-nucleotide ribosomal RNA is filed under the name uncultured bacterium. Its description in RNAcentral is "partial 16S ribosomal RNA". It matches the Rfam family "Bacterial small subunit ribosomal RNA", at positions 524 to 773 of the family's 1533-position model. The record is from RNAcentral.
UACGGAGGGUCCAAGCGUUAUCCGGAUUCAUUGGGUUUAAAGGGUGCGCAGGCGGAACUUUAAGUCAGUGGUGAAAUCUUGCCGCUUAACGGUAAAAUUGCCAUUGAUACUGAAGUUCUUGAAUAUGGUUGAGGUAGGCGGAAUGUGUUGUGUAGCGGUGAAAUGCAUAGAUAUGACACAGAACGCCGAUUGCGAAGGCAGCUUACUAAGCCAUGAUUGACGCUGAGGCACGAAAGCGUGGGGAGCGAAC